UCCAAAAAAAGCUCUCAACCCCUCAGUUCUCCGGCCUAGGUCCAGGCACCGGCCGAUCAUCGGCCACCGCUCCGGCCGCCGAUCUUCGGUGACGACACUGUCGUCUGCGGUGGCCGAAAAAGGGGAGAAUCUCAUAUCCGGUCUUUCCGAAGCCCCUAAACGCAAAUCUGGGCUCAAAACCCUUAAAAGAUUAGUAGAAACGCCUCAAAAGUCCAAGAAAUCUUUCGGUUUCCUGCCGUCUUUUCUCGGAGACAGCUUCCUCGGCCGUUCACGGUGAUUUGGGCUCAAAACACAAGUGAGGAUCGCUCGAGGCUCGUGGCUCGUGGCUGCGGCGCUGUUGAAACCCUAGGGUUUCUGAGUGUCAUUUGGGGGUUAAUUUUUUGGCCUCUGUUUGGUUUGGAUUUGGCCCUAUAGGACCGUUGUAGUUUGGGCUUUUUAGACCCGGGCCAAAAUAGGGUGUUACAUUGCAUUUGGGUUCAAAAAUACUUUUAACUUCAAAUUUUGUAUAUUUAGCCUUACUUAUAGUUCUAAAUGUACUUUUGGGGCUUAAAAGCACUUUUCAAAAGUAAUGCUAAAUAAAGUCUUAACCAAA
This is a long non-coding RNA of Gossypium raimondii (Peruvian cotton), 592 nucleotides long. RefSeq lists it as uncharacterized. The transcript is spliced from 2 exons. Lineage: Eukaryota; Viridiplantae; Streptophyta; Magnoliopsida; Malvales; Malvaceae. The record is from RefSeq and is a predicted model, not a curated record.